This 1077-nucleotide ribosomal RNA is filed under the name uncultured bacterium. Its description in RNAcentral is "partial 16S ribosomal RNA". It matches the Rfam family "Bacterial small subunit ribosomal RNA", at positions 245 to 1314 of the family's 1533-position model. The record is from RNAcentral.
CUAGUUGGUGGGGUAACGGCCUACCAAGGCGACGAUCUGUAGCGGGUCUGAGAGGAUGAUCCGCCACACUGGGACUGAGACACGGCCCAGACUCCUACGGGAGGCAGCAGUGGGGAAUAUUGGACAAUGGGCGAGAACCUGAUCCAGCCAUGCCGCGUGUGUGAAGAAAGCCUUUUGGUUGUAAAGCACUUUUAGCGGAGGAGAGGCUCUCGAGUUUAUACUCUUGAAUAGUGGACGUUACUCGCAGAAUAAGCACCGGCUAACUCUGUGCCAGCAGCCGCGGUAAUACAGAGGGUGCGAGCGUUAAUCGGAUUUACUGGGCGUAAAGCGUGCGUAGGCGGCUUUUUAAGUNGGAUGUGAAAUNCCUGAGCUUAANUUNNGAAUUGCNUUCGAUACUGGGAAGCUNGAGUAUGGGAGAGGAUGGUAGAAUUNCNGGUGUAGNGGUGAAAUGNGUAGNGAUNNNGAGGAAUACCGAUGGCGAAGGCAGCCAUNUGGCCUAAUANUGACGNUGAGGUACGAAAGCAUGGGGAGCNAACNGGAUUAGAUACCCUGGUAGUNCAUGCCGUANANGANGUNUACUAGCCGUUGGGGCCUUUGAGGCUUUAGUGGNGCAGNUAACGCGAUAAGUAGACCGCCUGGGGAGUNCGGUCGCAAGACUNAAANUCAAAUGAAUUGACGGGGGCCCGCACCAGCGGUGGGGCAUGUGGUUUAAUUUGAUGCAACGCGAAGAACCUUACCUGGUUUUGACAUAGUAAGAACUUUCCAGGGAAGGAUUGGUGCCUUUGGGAAAUUACAUACAGGUGCUGCAUGGCUGUUGUCAGCUCGUGUCGUGAGAAGUUGGGUUAAGUCCCGCAACGAGCGCAACCCUUUUCCUUAUUUGCCAGCGGGUUAAGCCGGGAACUUUAAGGAUACUGCCAGUGACAAACUGGAGGAAGGCGGGGACGACGUCAAGUCAUCAUGGCCCUUACGACCAGGGCUACACACGUGCUACAAUGGUCGGUACAAAGGGUUGCUACCUAGCGAUAGGAUGCUAAUCUCAAAAAGCCGAUCGUAGUCCGGAUUGGAGUCUGCAACUCG